RNAcentral lists this unclassified non-coding RNA (542 nucleotides) under Pyrenochaetopsis confluens. Its description in RNAcentral is "sequence contains ITS1, 5.8S rRNA gene, ITS2". The stretch from base 184 to 337 matches the Rfam family "5.8S ribosomal RNA". The record is from RNAcentral. Lineage: Eukaryota; Fungi; Ascomycota; Dothideomycetes; Pleosporales; Pyrenochaetopsidaceae.
UCGUAACAAGGUUUCCGUAGGUGAACCUGCGGAAGGAUCAUUAUCGACACAGCGGACUUCGGUCCUUGCUGCACCCUUGUCUUUUGCGUACCGUAUCGUUUCCUCGGCGGGCUUGCCUGCCGGUUGGACACUAUUAAACCUUUUUGUAGUUGCAAUCAGCGUCAGAAAAAUCAUAAUUAUUACAACUUUCAACAACGGAUCUCUUGGUUCUGGCAUCGAUGAAGAACGCAGCGAAAUGCGAAAAGUAGUGUGAAUUGCAGAAUUCAGUGAAUCAUCGAAUCUUUGAACGCACAUUGCGCCCCUUGGUAUUCCAUGGGGCAUGCCUGUUCGAGCGUCAUUUUGUACAAUCAAGCACUGCUUGGUGUUGGGCGUUUGUCUCGCAAGGGACUCGCCUCAAAGUCAUUGGCGGCCAACGCAGUCGUGGCAGAGCGCAGCACAAUCUUGCGUCUCUCCCUUCAGUGUCGGCGUCCAUCAAGCCUACAAUUUUCACGCUUGACCUCGGAUCAGGUAGGGAUACCCGCUGAACUUAAGCAUAUCAAUAA